GACGAACGCUGGCGGCGUGCUUAACACAUGCAAGUCGAACGGAAAGGCCCUGCUUGCAGGGUACUCGAGUGGUGAACGGGUGAGUAACACGUGGGUGAUCUGCCCUGCACUUCGGGAUAAGCCUGGGAAACUGGGUCUAAUACCGGAUAGGAGCCAUUUUUAGUGUGAUGGUUGGAAAGUUUUUUCGGUGUAGGAUGAGCUCGCGGCCUAUCCGCUUGUUGGUGGGGUAAUGGCCUACAAAGGCGGCGACGGGUAGCCGGCCUGAGAGGGUGGACGGCCACAUUGGGACUGAGAUACGGCCCAGACUCCUACGGGAGGCAGCAGUGGGGAAGAUUGCACAAUGGGCGCAAGCCUGAUGCAGCUACGCCGCGUGGGGGAUGACGGCCUUCGGGUUGUAAUCUCCUUUCGCUAGGGACGAAGCUUUUUGUGACGGUACCUAGAUAAGAAGCACCGGCUAACUACGUG
Molecule: ribosomal RNA, 465 nt
Filed under: uncultured bacterium
Lineage: Bacteria
Description: partial 16S ribosomal RNA
Rfam family: Bacterial small subunit ribosomal RNA
Source: RNAcentral